This 336-nucleotide ribosomal RNA is filed under the name uncultured soil bacterium. RNAcentral's name for it is "bacterial SSU rRNA". It matches the Rfam family "Bacterial small subunit ribosomal RNA", at positions 27 to 376 of the family's 1533-position model. The record is from RNAcentral.
GGAUUGAACGCUGGCGGCAUGCCUAACACAUGCAAGUCGAACGGGAGUAGCAAUACUCUAGUGGCGGACGGGUGAGGAAUACGUAGGAAUUUGCCCUUAAGUGGGGGAUAACCCGGGGAAACCCGGAUUAAUACCGCAUGACCUCGAAAGAGCAAAGUGGGGGAUCGCAAGACCUCACGCUUUUGGAGAAGCCUACGUCGGAUUAGCUAGUUGGUGAGGUAAUGGCUCACCAAGGCGACGAUCCGUAACUGGUCUGAGAGGAUGAUCAGUCACACCGGAACUGAGACACGGUCCGGACUCCUACGGGAGCAGCAGUGGGGAUAUUGGACAAUGGGC